This 488-nucleotide ribosomal RNA is filed under the name uncultured bacterium. RNAcentral's name for it is "partial 16S ribosomal RNA". It matches the Rfam family "Bacterial small subunit ribosomal RNA", at positions 29 to 505 of the family's 1533-position model. The record is from RNAcentral.
AGUGAACGCUGGCGGCAGGCCUAAUACAUGCAAGUCGAACGGCAGCACAGUGGAGCUUGCUCCAUGGGUGGCGAGUGGCGGACGGGUGAGGAAUACAUGGGAAUCUGCCCAGUCGUGGGGGAUAACGUAGGGAAACUUACGCUAAUACCGCAUGCGCCCUUCGGGGGAAAGCCGGGGACCUUCGGGCCUGGCGCGAUUGGAUGAGCCCAUGUUCGAUUAGCUAGUUGGCGGGGUAAAGGCCCACCAAGGCGACGAUCGAUAGCUGGUCUGAGAGGAUGAUCAGCCACACUGGGACUGAGACACGGCCCAGACUCCUACGGGAGGUAGCAGUAGGGAAUAUUGGACAAGGGGCGCAAGCCUGAUCCAGCCAUGCCGCGUGAGUGAAGAAGGCCCUCGGGUUGUAAAGCUCUUUUGUCCGGGAAGAAAAGCAUCGGGCUAAUACCUCGGUGUUCUGACGGGACCGGAAGAAUAAGCACCGGCUAACUUCG